CCUACGGGAGGCAGCAGUAGGGAAUAUUGGGCAAUGGAGGCAACUCUGACCCAGCCAUGCCGCGUGCAGGAUGAAGGCGUUAUGCGUUGUAAACUGCUUUUAUAUAGGAAGAAAGAGUUCUUGCGAGGACAGUUGACGGUACUAUAUGAAUAAGCACCGGCUAACUCCGUGCCAGCAGCCGCGGUAAUACGGAGGGUGCAAGCGUUGUCCGGAUUUAUUGGGUUUAAAGGGUGCGUAGGCGGUUUAUUAAGUCAGUGGUGAAAGACGGUCGCUCAACGAUUGCAGUGCCAUUGAUACUGGUAGACUUGAGUGAGAUUGAGGUAGCUGGAAUGGAUAGUGUAGCGGUGAAAUGCGUAGAUAUUAUCCAGAACACCAAUUGCGUAGGCAAGUUACUAAGUCUCAACUGACGCUGAGGCACGAAAGUGUGGGUAUCAAACAGGAUUAGAUACCCUGGUAGUCCACACUGUAAACGAUGAUAACUAACUGUUGGCUUUCGGGUCAGUGGUACAGAGAAAUCGUUAAGUUAUCCGCCUGGGGAGUACGCCGGNAACGGUGAAACUCAAAUGAAUUGACGG
Molecule: ribosomal RNA, 575 nt
Filed under: uncultured bacterium
Lineage: Bacteria
Description: bacterial SSU rRNA
Rfam family: Bacterial small subunit ribosomal RNA
Source: RNAcentral